GACGAACGCUGGCGGCGUGCCUAAUACAUGCAAGUCGAGCGGAACUGGGGGAGCUUGCUCCUUCCAGUUUAGCGGCGGACGGGUGCGUAACACGUGGGCAACCUGCCCUGCAGAUCGGGAUAACUCCGGGAAACCGGUGCUAAUACCGCAUAGUUUUGCGCCUCUCCUGAGGCACCACGGAAAGACGGUUUCGGCUGUCACUGCAGGAGGGGCCCGCGGCGCAUCAGCCAGUUGGUGGGGUAACGGCCAACCAAGGCGACGAUGCGUAGCCGACCUGAGAGGGUGACCGGCCACACUGGGACUGAGACACGGCCCAGACUCCUACGGGAGGCAGCAGUAGGGAAUCUUCCGCAAUGGACGCAAGUCUGACGGAGCAACGCCGCGUGAAUGACGAAGGUUUUCGGAUCGUAAAACUCUGUUGUGAGGGAAGAACACGUACCAACUAACUAUUGGUACCUUGACGGUACCUCGCCAGAAAGCCACGGCUAACUGCGUGCCAGCCGCCGCCGUAA
This 512-nucleotide ribosomal RNA is filed under the name uncultured bacterium. RNAcentral's name for it is "partial 16S ribosomal RNA". It matches the Rfam family "Bacterial small subunit ribosomal RNA", at positions 28 to 523 of the family's 1533-position model. The record is from RNAcentral.